UCCAGUGGCAGUUUGGGAAAAAGGUUAAAAAAAAAAAAAAAUUGGGGGUGGAGGGGGGCGCGGAGGUGGAGGACCAUGUUAUUUGUGAGUUUCAAAGGCUGAACUCCAGAUUUGACCAGUGCAGGUAAGAAGGCGGCUGGUUUUGUCUCACACCUGUCACAGGUAGGUUCUCUGUUCGGGAAUAUUUCUCACUUUGUUUUAGAGAAAUGAAGCAGGCUUUGUGAAGGGCAAAAGGUGGAUCAUUCAAAUUAUGAAUAUAAUUUUUACAGCCUAGACAUUGCGCCUGAUGUUUCACAUGUAAACUUGAUGGGACAUUUGGGAGGUGACUGAGGGCAUUGUGGGAUUUGACCGUGUACAUAGUCUCUAACUUGUAAAAACCUGAAGAAGUGGGACACAUCCAUUUAUUUAAAAAACUAUUAUAGUAGGCUAAUUCAUGUGGGUUUCACAAUUUCUUUUCCUAAAUUUACAUCCAAACUCAUAAUCAUACACAUUAAUAAGACACAAAGAAUUCUGUUAUUGUUAUUUUAUUCUUUAAUGCUGCUUUAGUUUUGUAUUUGGAAAAUGAGCAUAAACCUAUAUCUUAACAACACACCUUACACAUAACUACACAUUCAUGUUAUUCAUAAUGGUGGCCAAACGGGUCAACCUAUAUUCUGACCCUCGUUUCCAGCAGAGCACUGGAGCCUAACCCAGCAGAACACAGGGAUCACAUGCAGACUCCGCUCCGAAAGGCCCAGGCCGGGAUUCGUACCCCAGGACGUUCUUGCUGUGAGGCGACAGUUCUGCCCACUGCACCACACUGACAUGCCGUUGUAUUUUAGAAACAUCAAGGAAUGAAAAUGUGAAUCAAUGCUUUAUGUCUGACUUUACCACAGGGCUUUCAAGUCUUCAGUGGCUGCAGGUAUUACAUGGUCAAGAGGUGGAUCAAGGUGUACAAACUACAAAGGAUUCCUGUGGAUGUGGAAUCAGCCAGACAGAUUGAUGGAAUAAUGGACACACAGAGACACUGAUCUGUGUGAUUCAUCCCCCCAUCUAUGUCUACCUUGUAUGAAAUUAACUAAAAAUAACAUAAACAUAUAAAACACACUUCUUUGGAAGGGGUACAGAUGCUCAGUCAUUGUCGUAGGUGCAACCUGGAAGAAAUGAAGAAGAGCACAUUAGAACAUUGAUUACUCCACAGUGUCUAAUUACAAUUUGCUUGUGAAAAAUAAAUCCCCUCCACAUAUUCGACUUUGUUAUCAGAAAAAUGUAUAUUCAUGUAGCUCAGUGUCAGAACAUACCUUCACCGACGUCAUCGUAAAUAUCAGCGUCUCUGUUUGAGGUAAAACAGAAAUUUUACAGAACAGUGAGACUCAAAAGAUCAAGGCUAUUGGAGGAGAGUAAGUUACAUCACAAAACAUCCAAUAUAGCAUUCAGGAAAAAAACAAACUCAGUUAUUAGUAUGUUAUCUCAACAUUUACAAGGGGUCAGAAGUGUAUGUACACACUUACAGUAUUGAUACUAUACUAUUUGUUUGCUCAAUGUGUACAUGUCAUAACAAUGUACAUUAAAAUUGUUAUUUGAAUUUGAAUGAUACAACUUGAGGAUUACUUACUCAGGUAUGAUGUUGCCCACUGAAACGUAACCAACUGCAGGACAAAGAGAGAUGAAGUUACACCAUGCCUGAAACCUAACGGCAUUUGGCACUUUUAAAGAGCGCUAUCUGUGUGCAAACAGCAGGAUGGAACUGUCCAAUCAUCUGUCACUCACUUUUCCCCUCCUGAUUCCGGCCAAUCAGCUUGUUGUUGCUGGGCUCCACGAUGACAUCGAUCUUCUCUCCCGGCUUCAGGGGCAAGUCUUUGCUCCCCCACUUCCUCGUGGUCAACGUGGACACGAUGGUCACCUGGUGGAGCACCUGGAUCUCGCCAUCGAACUGCUCGCAAAUACAGGUCAGGGAAGGGUUAAAUACAUCUGAAGGAAAAAUAGCUAUAGCUUUGGAGUGGUCAUAUCUCAGAUACCGUGAGAUCGGUUUAACUGGUCAUACAUUCUGGACAUUACAUGCAGUAGGUAGCUGGGGAAACACACAUUCUAGCUACCAAUGGCCUGCUUAAGGAGGCGAAUGGGCACUGAUACCUACUGGAGCAUACCUGUCACGGAGCACACCUGUCUCAUCUGUAACCCUGUUUGAUUUGACAGCAUUCUUGUGGCUGUCAAAUGUGGCUGUCCAAUGUGGCUGCCAAACAUGUAACAAACUAAACUAAGCUAAACGUUUUGUAUUUUUCAGCUUUGGUGUUUGUUCUUAUGUACUCUUUAAAAUAAAAAAGAUCAAAUUCUCAA
Molecule: long non-coding RNA, 2316 nt
Organism: Anguilla rostrata (American eel)
Lineage: Eukaryota; Metazoa; Chordata; Actinopteri; Anguilliformes; Anguillidae
Exons: 2
Source: RefSeq, a predicted model, not a curated record